Molecule: long non-coding RNA, 6604 nt
Organism: Heterocephalus glaber (naked mole-rat)
Lineage: Eukaryota; Metazoa; Chordata; Mammalia; Rodentia; Bathyergidae
Source: RefSeq, a predicted model, not a curated record
CGUGGCUCCCUGUGGUGCCACAUAUAGGUUGUGUAUGUGCUGAGAUAUUGUUUCUUCCCCACCCUCUGGGAAGUCUUAUGGGGCUGGUACAACCUCUUACAAUAAAUGGUGUGGUCUAUCUGAUCUAUUUAUCCUGUUGUGCUGUAUGAAUUUAUUGUACUCUGAGUCUAUCCUGAGGAAUGAUCAUGGGUGAAAGCCCUGCCUGAGGGUAUGACUCACAGGAGGGGACCCUGCUUCCCAAGGGCCAUCAGGAACAGAGAGGCGCAAAGGGAAACCGAAAUCACUAUACACCAUAACAUGGACAGAGAAAAGCUUGGUACAUUUUUUGUUUGAAAAUAAUACUUUUCUUUGUUAAUAUAGAUUUGGAAUCCACUGCUUCAGAGAAUUAUUUUUGUUCCUGGGAUAUGCGUGACUGUGUUCUGUGUUUUCCCAGAAGAUCUAUAGUACCCUAGAAGAUUAACUAAAGGGAGACUUUGGGAGACAGGCAUAUUCUUCAGGAUUCUUUUGUUGUCACCAAACCUUCAGCCAAGUGUGUUGCAGCCACAUCUGGUGUGUUGUGAAGGGAUGCUGAGUGGUUCUUCUCCUAUAGCCCUCUCUGCCCAUGCUUGGAUGGUAAGCAUAGACUCAUGUCUGGGGGAACCAUGUUCAUAGCUUUCAGGGGGCCCCAAGAGCAAUGUGAACAGAGGCACAAAGAUUCUUUGAGACCAAUUAGAGGACCCAGGGAUGGUAAAAGCUUUCUUGCUCCAAGUGUACCGGAGGGAAUUCAGCCUCAAAAGGAGUGACGGGAGGCAGAUACCAGUCUGCUCACACAGUCCUGGGCACACACAUCCUUCCUGGUCCACUCUCAAGGACACUUGCUAUUGCUAUGUCCCGGAGAAGGUCAAGGGUUGUAUGUAAAACACAUGGGGAGAAGACAUAUGCAGUGCUGUGGACUCUCAGUGCACUUAUGCUAUCUUCACUCAGUAUGUUGGAGCAGUAGUGAUAUGAUGGUCAAUUUUAUGUCAGCUUGGCAAGGCUGAGGUGUGCCCUUUGGUGUGGUCAAACACCAGUCUACAUGUUGCCCUGAUAAUAUGUUUAGAUGUGAUCGACAUAUACAGCCUGUAGAAAGAUGAGUAAAGCUGAUUGUCCCCCAAAUGUGGGUGGGCCUCACCCAACCAGUUCAAGGUCUUAAGAGCAGAGACUGUGGUUUCCCAAAGAAUUACUUCUGCCACAGGACUGUAAUGCAGAAACCCUGGCUGGUCUCCUGCCCAGUGUCCUGUCUUGCAAUUUCAGACUCAAGGUUGAACCAUCAACUCUCACUGAAUUGCUGAUUUUGGACUUGCCGGCUCCCACAAUCAUAUGAGUUAAUUCUUUAAAAAUAUAUAUGUAUGUCUCCACAUGUGUGCAUGUAAUAUACUAAUACUGUAUAUAAUAGAGUAACAUAUAUAACACAAUAAAGUUCUGUUUUCCCAGAGAAUACUAACAUAGUCUGAAGGGGAAAAGACACUUAGUGUGUUGUACUGGAAACACUAAACAGCCUAAUGGACUCAACAUAUUUUGCUGAAUUCCACCUGGAGCCCACAAAGACAUAUCACUGGAGCCCUUAGGUCAGGAGAACCCCAGAGACCUCUGCCCUCAGUCCAAGGUCUGUUACAUCUCCUGCAAGCUCUGGCUUCCUGCCUCCAUCUCUUUGAGUCCUGUCCCAUGGGCCAGGACAGGGUGUUGCUUAGACUUUUAUGGCAUCCUGUGUUGUCCUUGUCCCACUGGCAACUGCAUGUGGCCGUCCUUGGUAAAUUAGCGCACAAUUGCUCAGGGAAGUGUGUGUGCUGAUGGUGCAUGGCAGCUUUACAAACACUGUCUGGUUGAGUUAGAACUGAAUUGUUCUCUGAUUUAAAGAUUCCUCUGUGAUUAUCAGAACCUUGGGGAUGAUGCUAGCUAGAAAGAAUGUCCAUGACCAUUCUUGCGCCAAUUUUAUAAUUCAUCUUUUAAUAAUCUGUAACUGAAGAGCUGGGUGGAAUUCAUCAGUCCCUGCCUUGCUUCCCACUGGGGAGCUUUCUGUGUCUAUUACAGAGCCAAAGCUGAGUGCAGCUGUUUGAACUGUCACGGGGGCUCUGGUUCAUCCAAAUAUUGAUAAUAAUCACUUCUGCUUCAGAUGGAAGGCAUUUAUUUAAAUAUUCGUAAUGAAAAGGCUGUUAUUAUUGAUAUUAAAGCUUUACAGUGAGAACAUCAAAAUGUGGAUAUGACAUUGAUAAACCAUGCUUGGAAAGAGCUGUGUCUUUCUCCUGCAUGGUAUUUAGGGCCCUGGGCUGGUGUUGUUGAUCAUCUGUUCUUCAUAGAAAUAGGGAGAAGUUAUUACAAGGGAUAAUUAAACCCACAGAAAUGUCUGAACGCUGGCAGGCUACAGCCAUCCCCAGCACCGAAGGGGAUCAGCAAAAUCAAACAGUCGGGGUUUGAGUCCUAGGAGGGUGAGUAGUGUGAUGAAUUUUCCUCACUCUGUCUUUGUCCCUCCCCUGCCUUUCCUGGAUUACAGUCACAAGCAGAUCACAUCACAUUUACUCGGUCUUCAUGCACCGUGCUCUGGAGUGGAGCCUGGGUGCUGCUCUUCCUGGGUGUGACCAACAUGUCACUGAGAAGAAGGAAGCUGCUGCGACCCUGGCCAGCCACAUCACUGUGCUAGCACGAACCCAGUGUUCUGUGACUCCUCCCUGUGUCCUCUUCUCUUCUCCUUGCCUUUCCUUAAUUGCCUGCCCUGGGUGGUCUUCUGUCUCCUGAACCAAAUCCCUUUGUUCUUUAUGAGGUGGGACAUGUUAGUUGUUCUAAUCAAGAUGAUUUUAUUUCAAAGAUAAUAAAUAUCUGGCCAUCUCCAAGAGGGUGUCAGAAGCCUUUCCUUGAGUUUGAGUGGUCACUUAGGGCAGCAGGAGCCUCGGCCAGGGCUGGACUGUACCCACAGCCAUUGGAUGACACCAUGUCAAUGGAAACAGGGCUCAAGGGAUCUUGCAAAAAGCACCCCUAAGGAGGGCGAGUUUUUAUGUCAAACCCUUACCUGUUGGAGGGAAGGAAGAAGACUUGAAUUCAGUCCUGGGCUAGUAUGAGACGUGAAUCACCGUGUAGCCCCCUCCCCCGCAAAGAAUGUCUGAGCCCCAGGAGAGAGAUGAAAGAGCUGCAGGGCAGAACCGUGCCACUGUGGCCUGUGACAAGUCGGGGAUCCGUGACUCGCUCUUCAGGACCCGUGUGCCAGGCUGGACCCAGGAGGGGAGGCCCCGUUGUGCCACUGGGAGGCUGCCAUGCCUGGGCAGCAGGGUGUUCAGUCCUUACUCUGCCCGGGCUUCCAAGUGGCCUCUAGCAGAUGCCUACCUUGUGCACUUCCUUAGUAGCAGCACCCAGCCUGACAGGAUGGUGAACCCCAGGGAGUCGGUAAGGCCUUGGGGUUUCCCUGAGUAAAGGAGCAAGACACCUGUCUCUCUCCAACACAUGUAUUAGGUGGCCCACGUUGCCAGUUCCUUACUCCACGUCGCUGGAAUCCUCUGCCAGGAAGACUGAGCUAAGGUCCUUAAGAAGGAAAGGCUUCUGAAUUUCCCAAGAGGACAGCAGGACUAAGAAUGGUUUCUCCACUGAAACAGACCUACGUGUCUAAGUUGAGCAGCUUUCCAGCAGCCUUCUGGCUAAUGAACAAAUUGGUUUUCAAGGAAUAGCUUUUGUGGCAUUACUUAAGUGGAGUUAUUGGAAAGAAAAGCUGGAGAAAAGUUUAGGAGACAUAAUAUCUUUAAGACAGAAAAAUACUGGGUUUAGAAAAAAGUGACGAGAAUGUUACCCUUCGCCAAGGCAGCCAUCUAGCGCAGAGCUCUUCUUGUUCACAUGGGGAACUGUCUACUUCAGCCAGUUAGUGUGGUCUUCAAGCACAUGUUUAAUUUCUGAGGGCUUUGUUAAAAGAAAGCCAAAAUAAUCGGAGCUUACUGAUCAGCUUCAGUGCACUUUCUCUUUUUAGGAGGGACUGCUUCGGGCUCGGAAAGAUAAAUCAUGUAACUUCAUAAGAAUUCUUUAUAAUGUAGUAUGAAAUUAUGCUCACAUGCUCUGAAGUGUUUCUAAAUAGCCUUGGCCACAUCUUAGAUAUUCACUGUCGGAGAAUGUAUAAUUUAAGAAAUCACAACAAGAUGGCAGAAGUUUGUUCUAAAGGAUUUUGAGGGAGUUGAUCUGAAGUCACUUUGAAGUUAUGUGCGCUCUUUUCUAGGAAAGUUCUCAGCUCUUGCCCUCUUCCCUGCCAGCCCACAAGCUCCUGCCUCUCCAGCUUGGGGUGCUGGUCUGCACCACUUCAUUGCAGUUGAUGUGUUGGGCCCUUUGAUCUGUGGUCUAUAUUUGUUUGCAACUUGCUGUCAGUUCCCUGGUAAGGUGCUAGGUGAUAAUUAAGACUUUAGUUUAUGGCAAGUGGAUUGACCUCCUCCUUAAAAAAAUUGGAUGUAUAUCUGAUAAAUGAGCAUAUUUUAGAAAUUUUUUUUAUCAGAAUCUUAAAGGGUUUUGUAAGCACAGAGACCAAGGACUUGGGAAAUGCAUUUAUUGAGCAGACGUCUUGGAAACACUGGGGAAAAGCUACCUAAUGAUGAAAUGAACAGUGGUGCGGCUGAUGGUGUUGAACAGCAUCCUUCAAAUUCCACUGAUAAGGUGUGUGCUUCUUUCAGAAGAGCUGGUCCUCUCAGAGAGGCUACAGGUGAACAAACAUAAGGAGAUCGAACUCGGGACCUUGUGCUUCCGAGGCAGGUGGCAGAACCACUGAGCUAAAUCCCUAUCCCUUUUUCUUAAUUUUUAAACUUGAUUUAAAAAUAUGCACUGUAUUUCUGGAUUAUAUUUGGAUAUAUGCAUAUUUACACAUUCCUCUUCUGUUCUCUCUGAGCUUUGCUUCUCCCAGAGCAGCAGAGGCCCCAAGCUUCCUGUGGGAUGGACUGAGGCCAGGGUGUGGCCAGCAAGCUGGGCCAGGGCCAGGUGACUGCUAGGGGAAGCAGAGGGUGCACACUCUGACCCCUGCAGGUGGUCAUGUGUGUUUGGCUUGCAGGUGGGGAUGAAAGGGAGCCCAGAAGUAAGCACGGGGGCUUCAUUGGGACAAGAAAAGAGGGAAAAGAGGGAAAGGAUGAGAAGACUUCAAUUAAAGAAACAAGGGAGACAAGAACUGAGAAGUAUAAGGAAAAGGAAAGAAGGAGCAGACAUGAAGGGGAGGAGAUGGAAGGAACCUAGGGCUCCUUCUCUCUGGAGGGUGCUGCAGUCCAGAUGCCAUCAUGACAGCAGACCAACCCCUCAACAGACCCUAAGCCCACUGGUGCCUUGAUCUCAGACUCCCCAGCCUCUGGAACUGUGAGAAAUAUACUUCUAGGCUCAUGUGUUUUGUUACAGCAACACAGAUGUACCAAGAACAGAAAUCUAACUCAUAUAAUGACUAGCUAUAAUACAUACUAGAACCUCAGUUUUUCCAUCUGUAAAGUGGGUGAUGUAAAUCAAAUUAUGUAUUAUCCCUUUGAUUUCUGUGAUUUUAAAUGUGUGUGUGCACAUACGCAUGUAAUUGCACGUGUGUAGGAAGGAAAUGGUGGCAGGUUGUAUGCAAUCACAAGGUUCCCUGUCUGCUUCCAGAUAAAUGCUGAGUGGGCCACAAAUAAUAAGUGUACCAGAAACUGCAAUUUUAUGGGCAGUAAACACUUUGAGGGGGUUUCCAGAUACAUAAGGGCCUGACUGCAUACUCCUUAGAAGCACAGCUUUGAUUACUUUUAUCAGGUUACUCCUUAACUCUGCGUGUUGAUAAGCACAAGCACAAACAAGGCACAGAAGAGUUUGAAGUCAUUCCAGGAAAAUAAGGAAAUACAAAUUAUUACAUAUGCUACUCCAAAGUCAGGUGAUUUCAGUAAUAUGGGAUGUCCUAAACCCCAAAUCUGGGACAGUUCUCAAAUUUCUGAGAGCUGAGUGGUGUCUUGUCUCUGAAACAGGAACAAUGGGUCCCCUGCAGCUGUGCCUGCAGAAGGGAAAUUGCCAGGUGCAAUAUUACAUUUUGGCCUCUUAAUGAUGAUUUAUGAGCAUUGGGCUCAAUCACCAUGUGCUUGAUGGAGAUGUAAUUUGCCUUGGUUUUAAGGAAUGGAGUUUCAAAUAUUUGAAAGUAAAAAACUCAGCCCUACCUCAUUAGCUAUUUUAAAGGGUUCCUUGUGCCAGUCACCGUAGAUGGGCCUUUUGUUGCCUCAUAUCUGGGCUGAAAGAGCAGUUGACUAUGUCUGUUUGCUGGAGUUGAUUUUCAUCUGUCCUAACCUAAUUCAAUUUUCCUUCCUACCACACAUAUCAAAAGCCAUUAAUUUAUCAGUGUUAGUUGAAUUUAACCUGUAGGGUAGACCCAGCCGUUCACAGGGCAACACUGUUUUCCCACAGUCUCUCUUGGGAGGAGAAGAGCUUAGACUCUGAUUCUGGGUGGGGUCCAAACCCUACCUCUGCCACUGAUAACUGGUGUGACUUUGGACAGUAGUAAGAUGCAUAAGUUACUUAAUUAUCUCUGUAUUUACUCAUUUUGGAAUGAGAAAAAUAAUCUUAACGGAUUGGAAAAUGUAUGUCAAGUACUUAGGAUAGUGACAAAUGUUAUGGCAAAUGCAGCUGACAUAUUCUA